GAUGAACGCUGGCGGCGUGCCUAAUACAUGCAAGUCGAGCGAACAGACGAGGAGCUUGCUCCUCUGACGUUAGCGGCGGACGGGUGAGUAACACGUGGAUAACCUACCUAUAAGACUGGGAUAACUUCGGGAAACCGGAGCUAAUACCGGAUAAUAUAUUUAACCGCAUGGUUCAAUAGUGAAAGACGGUUUUGCUGUCACUUAUAGAUGGAUCCGCGCCGCAUUAGCUAGUUGGUAAGGUAACGGCUUACCAAGGCGACGAUGCGUAGCCGACCUGAGAGGGUGAUCGCCCACACUGGAACUGAGACACGGUCCAGACUCCUACGGGAGGCAGCAGUAGGGAACCUUCCGCAAUGGGCGAAAGCCUGACGGAGCAACGCCGCGUGAGUGAUGACGGUCUUCGGAUCGUAAAACUCUGUUACUAGGGAAGAACCAAUGUGUAAGUAACUAUGCACGUCUUGACGGUACCUACUCAGAAAGCCACGGCUAACUACGUG
RNAcentral lists this ribosomal RNA (497 nucleotides) under uncultured bacterium. RNAcentral describes it as "partial 16S ribosomal RNA". It matches the Rfam family "Bacterial small subunit ribosomal RNA", at positions 28 to 507 of the family's 1533-position model. The record is from RNAcentral.